UACGUAGGCAGCAAGCGUUGUUCGGAGUUACUGGGCGUAAAGGGUGUGUAGGCGGUUGUUUAAGUUUGGUGUGAAAUCUCCCGGCUCAACUGGGAGGGUGCGCCGAAUACUGAAUGACUUCGAGUGCGGGAGAGGAAAGUGGAAUUCCUGGUGUAGCGGUGAAAUGCGUAGAUAUCAGGAGGAACACCGGUGGUGUAGACGGCUUUCUGGACCGUAACUGACGCUGAGACACGAAAGCGUGGGUAGCAAACAGG
Molecule: ribosomal RNA, 254 nt
Filed under: uncultured bacterium
Lineage: Bacteria
Description: partial 16S ribosomal RNA
Rfam family: Bacterial small subunit ribosomal RNA
Source: RNAcentral